Molecule: ribosomal RNA, 1080 nt
Filed under: Salmonella enterica
Lineage: Bacteria; Pseudomonadati; Pseudomonadota; Gammaproteobacteria; Enterobacterales; Enterobacteriaceae
Description: partial 23S ribosomal RNA
Rfam family: Bacterial large subunit ribosomal RNA
Source: RNAcentral
UAAAUACUUCCUAGCGACCGAUAGUGAAGCAGUACCGUGAGGGAAAGGUGAAAAGCACCCCGGAAGGGGAGUGAAAUAGAACCUGAAACCGUGUGCUUACAAAAAGUCAGAGCCCGUUUUAGGGGUGAUGGCGUGCCUUUUGUAGAAUGAACCGGCGAGUUACGUUCCCGUGCAAGGUUAAGGUGAAGAGCCGGAGCCGCAGCGAAAGCGAGUCUGAAUAGGGCGACAUAGUACGUGGACGUAGACCCGAAACCGGGUGAUCUACCCCUGUCCAGGGUGAAGGUGCGGUAACACGCACUGGAGGCCCGAACCCACGCAUGUUGAAAAAUGCGGGGAUGAGGUGGGGGUAGCGGAGAAAUUCCAAUCGAACUCGGAGAUAGCUGGUUCUCCCCGAAAUAGCUUUAGGGCUAGCCUCGGAAAACAGAGUCGUGGAGGUAGAGCACUGAUUGGGUGCGGGGCCCGCAAGGGUUACCAAGCUCAGUCAAACUCCGAAUGCCAUAGACUUACUUCCGGGAGUCAGACAGUGAGUGCUAAGAUCCAUUGUCAAAAGGGAAACAGCCCAGACCAUCAGCUAAGGUCCCCAAGUGUGUGUUAAGUGGGAAAGGAUGUGGAGUUGCACAGACAACCAGGAUGUUGGCUUAGAAGCAGCCACCAUUGAAAGAGUGCGUAAUAGCUCACUGGUCGAGUGACUCUGCGCCGAAAAUGUAACGGGGCUAAACACACCACCGAAGCUAUGGCUUGAUGCUUUGCAUCAGGGGUAGGGGAGCGUUGUAUAAGGGUUGAAGGUGUACCGUAAGGAGCGCUGGACAUUAUACAAGUGAGAAUGCCGGUAUGAGUAACGAAAAGAUCAGUGAGAAUCUGAUCCGCCGAAAGCCUAAGGGUUCCUGAGGAAGGCUCGUCCGCUCAGGGUAAGUCGGGACCUAAGGCGAGGCCGAAAGGCGUAGUCGAAGGACAACAGGUCGAAAUUCCUGUACCACCGUAAGCCGUUAUGAGCAAUGGGGGGACGCAGCAGGGUAGUGACGCGGACUGAUGGAUGUCCGUCUAAGCAGUGAGGCUGAUGUGUAGGCAAAUCCGCACAUC